GCAAUAAAAAUGAGGGGAUAUGAUUCUGUUGUUAUUGCCCAUGACAUAAUUAUUCAGAUAGGUGCACAAUGAGCCCCAAGUUCGAUGACCCCCAGCAUCUAGAACCCCAAUGGUUUUGUUUCAGACCUCUUUUGAAGUCCCAGCAACAGCACAACCUUAGGCCUUUCUGGAAUAAUCAACUUCAGAUCCAGGAGCUCAAAGUGAGAAGAGAAAUGGGAGAUCACUCAGAGACUGACAAGUGCAUAGAAACACAAAAACUCCAGGAAGGGAGUCACAUCUUGAAAAUGGCGUGGAACCCAAACUCCCAGGGAUUGGCAUUGGUUCUACUUUCUUCAGCCCCAACAGGGCAAAGGACUUUCGUCUGCUAAAAUCGUUUCCUUCCUUCUUCUUUCUUCAUUGUCUUUCUCCUUGCUCUCCAAACGAGCUGUCUGCAUUGAACUGGCAAAUAGCCACAGGCUAUGUCUCAUUGGGAGUAAGAAGCCACAGCAGUCCACCCCAUUCGCAGCUUUGUGAUUCAUAGCAGAGUUCAUUCACAGCUGCUCAGACCCUUGAUACAAGGAUUAGCACUAUAGCUGUUUAAAAUUCCUAAGCAGAGGAGUUUUUGUGGUGCUUCUAAGCAGCCUGCCAUCAGCCAUGCCCUUGCAAUGAGGCUGACAGUUUCGUGUGCCCAGGAACAGUUGGGCAUCUCCACGCUCGGAAGACUGGCCCAACCAGUCCCACUGCACUUUUGAGGACAGUGGCAAAGCCUGGAAUUGGUGACGUUAUUUAAUAUUUUGGUUAGUCACUAAGUAAAGUCUUUGCCUAGAAACCUUGAUUUCCUAUACAGCAGGGUAGACAAGGUCCAACAGAAAAUUUUCCUGAAAUAUUUCACUGAAACAAGCCAGUUCCACAAUGAGGAAGUUACCAUACUAAGCAAUAUAUGCCAGUUUGAUCCUUUUGUGAAAUCGAGUUUCAUCCACUGUUAACUCUAGCUGAUUGACAGACAGACAUGUGUCCCACACACUAGCUCUCCCUUGCAAUUUGGGCAGGUUACAUAAAAAAAAAACCUUAUGGUUAUUAUUCAGUUGACUCAGACUUCCUGUGGUUUUGAACAUUUUGAAGGACAGCAUAGAAUUUACAAAUCAGAGGGACUUUUAGUCUUUUCUAUCACAUGCCUGGUACUGGAUUUGCAAACUGCUAAAUAAACACACAGCCUCUCAAGUUAGCUUCUAGGCAAUGGUAACAAUUUGUACUUUCACUGUAACACUGUAUAUGCAUGGCUUUUCAAGAGGUUUGCUAACUAGUUUGAAAUGUUCUUCUUUUCCAUUUGGGAUCCCUUUUAUUUCUUUUUCUUGCCUGAUUGCUCCGGCUGGGACUUCUAACACAAGGUUAAAUCAGAGUGGCGAAAGUGGGCAUCCUUGUGUUGUUCCUGUUCUUAGAGGGAUAGCUUUCAGUUUUUCACCUUUGAGGAUGAUGUUAGCUGUGGGUUGCUCUACACAGAAAUUGAAAUAUAAUGUUAUACACCUGAAAUUUAUAUGAUGUUAUAAACCAAUGUUACCUCAAUAAAAAUAAAUAGAUAAGUAAAAUAAAGCACAUUUCACAAAUAAAAAAAGAAACGUUCUAUGGAGGAAACCAGAAAUGGACUUGAAAGUCAGUUAGUUAUUUUCUCUUUUAAAUUUUAAAUAAAAAGUGGUGUGAUUGCUUGGUGAUUGCAAAUACAAUUGACAUGGCUGCUUGUCCACCUAACAGGCUUUUUUUUCUUAAAAACUGCCACUUGUCACUUUGAAUAAUUAAAUUGAAUACAAAUGUUUCUCAAUGAUUGAGAAUGUAGGAAUCAUGUCUCUCUUUUUAGGCAGGAAACUGAAUCCACAAAGUCCAUAGUCUGAAGACGCUCUCCUACUUUAGGGUUAAGUGAAACACACACAUUUUGCUUUUUAAUAGCACGGUACAACUGGCAAGUGAAGGAGGAGGUUGUGAAGUUCAAAUCAGGACAUGUUUUCACUUGCUAGCAGCUACAGUAAAGCUCGGAGGGGAAAAAGAAUGAAAUAAAAGAUUUUUUUAAAAAAAGCUGGAGUUUUGUGUUUGUAAAGUGGACUACUGAGCAUUGUAGAUAAAUUUAUUAACUUCCUGGAUAACAUUUGUGCUAAGAUUCGGUCCUACGGUCCUGGACAACAUGCAGAUGUUUUUGUGCUGAAGUCUUUCUAGUUUUCUUCUUCGUUUUGUUUUUAACAGGGAGUAAAAAGAUGGCAUGGGUGAUUUCUAAAGAUUUCCUUAAUUAAAGCUGGUUUGAUUCCUCACUUAAAUGAAACAAGAUGGUUGAAGAUAAAACAAGCUUACUUAUCAGUAGACACUGAAGAAUCAAUCUUUUGCUCGUCUAUUCAGCUCAAAUUCCAUGAUCAUAGUCUUUUACAAAGCAAAGUAGGGCAUAAACCAUUUACCAUUGAUGCCAUUAGCAAGCAUUUAUGCAGAAUGCACAGGCCACCAUCCAUUCUAUCAACUCAGGUCCAUAGAAUGACUUCCAUUUCUGUAGGUCAAUUUUACCAUUAGAGCAAAAGGUCCUGGCCCACAGUAUGUCCAAUCACGUAUUCGGCAGAAGAGUUACACCUGCUGUGGCUGUGUGGGAUGGGUUUCCCACAGAGAUUCAGACAUGACCAUAUGAUGGGGAAAGCAGUCACUGUACAGCACAAGGGAAGAAUUUAGCAAUGUCACUUAAUACAUACCUUUAUCCCGUGACUUAUAAAACAAAUUUCUUAAUCCUUACUUGCAUGUAAAAUUCUUCUUGAAUUUUUACUUUAUUGUAAGAUAUUCCAAUAGACUCCCUUGGAGUCCUUCCAGAAUAUUCCAUGGGCAAUUUUCACUGUGGAUUUCAAACAUCAGCCAAAGCUACUGAAAAAUGUAGCCCUGGGUUAUUUUGUUGUUGUUGUUUCUAAGAUGCUAUGUAAUGGCUUCAAAUGUUCAAGACAUGAUAGAGUGAAAAAAAAUACUUGUUUUUAACUUUGGUUUUCCCAUCUGAAAUACUAACAUGGCUGUGUUUUCUUCUUAAUUCCAAGCAGCAGUGAACCUAAUUUAUGAACUUUUUCUCAAUAAAAAAUCAACAAAUGGAAGGUUUAACAUGGCACUAAGGAGUCUUCAGGAUUACCAGGUAUACAGCGAUGGAUUUAUAGAGGCCAGUGGGCUGAUAACUAUAUUUUAGGUCUAGGAAACAUCUGUUCAGAGUAAUUAGUUUAUGGUUUUUAUACCAAAUAGAAGGGAAAAAAACACCACAUUGAUCUGAGACUUUGGUGGGGUUUUUUUUAACCAAAAGUAAUGCAAAUCCCAUUCUAGUAGACUUAUAUACUUCAUUGAUAGGUUCUACUAAAAUCAAGGGGAUACUGAAAUUGCCACAUGAGGAAAUGAUAAAGUAACAGAGAACCAGGAGUUUUCAAUGGAAAAUUCCUAAGCAAUAUGCUAUGGGGGGAGAAAGGCGAAUUAAAUAUAACACUCAAAUAAUCCAUAAAAGAAAGUUUUUCUCCAUGUAAGUCUACAGAUAAUAUGGGCUUCCUCAACAAACUUGACCCACCAAUCUAAAAUAUCCUGGAAAUAUUCAGAAUUAGACAUGUCACAGAUAGUCCUACGGAUAUGAAAAAGUUUUGCACAAACAUGCAACAACCUUGGUAACAAAUUCAUCUUCUUUUUUUAAAACCUCAGUCUUUUAGACUCGUUCUAAAUAAUUACAUGAAGCAAGGAAUUGGCUGUUAUCCAGUGAAUUUGGACUGUGGACACUGACCAAAUUGUUUGACAUUUUACCCCAUCCCUUCUAUUUUCAGUCCACUUUUUCCCUCCACGAUGACUUUCUGGUUAAGUAUUAUCUGGUUUUGGCCGUCUCACUGCCCACUUCAGAUAAUUGCUCAACUCUCCACUUGGCUUCUUGCUGGAUAGGCUUGACCUAA
Equus caballus (horse) is the source of this 3908-nucleotide long non-coding RNA. The record is from Ensembl. Lineage: Eukaryota; Metazoa; Chordata; Mammalia; Perissodactyla; Equidae.